CCCCAUAUGUCCUGCCCACCAUGUGAUAUCACAAUGCCCCGCCCAUAUGCUCUGCCAUAUGGGCCAACGCCAGUCUUCACAAAGUGUCUUUUAUCUGAAAAGACAGUGUGUUUACAUUAAAAAGCCUACAGGCACAGGCUAUAGACACCAUAACCAAUAGAUUAAGCUGUAGUGCUUCUGGUGACUAUAGUAUCCAUUUAAUGUGAGGUAAAUUAGAGAUUAGUGCCACUAAUAAUAUAUUGGAUUGCCUACUUACCACCAGAUGAGGACAAGAGGCUGAUGAUGGGCUCAGUCUGGC
This 298-nucleotide long non-coding RNA is filed under the name Pelobates cultripes (western spadefoot toad). The record is from RNAcentral. Lineage: Eukaryota; Metazoa; Chordata; Amphibia; Anura; Pelobatidae.